UACGGAGGGUGCAAGCGUUAUCCGGAAUCACUGGGUUUAAAGGGUGCGUAGGCGGCUGUAUAAGUCAGCGGUGAAAGCCCGGAGCUUAACUUCGGAACUGCCUUUGAUACUGUAUAGCUUGAAAUAGGUUGAGGUCAGCGGAAUGUGGCAUGUAGCGGUGAAAUGCAUAGAUAUGCGAUAGAACACCAGUUGCGAAGGCAGUUGGCUGGACCUUAUUUGACGCUGAGGCACGAAAGCGUGGGGAGCGAACAGG
This 253-nucleotide ribosomal RNA is filed under the name uncultured bacterium. Its description in RNAcentral is "partial 16S ribosomal RNA". It matches the Rfam family "Bacterial small subunit ribosomal RNA", at positions 524 to 776 of the family's 1533-position model. The record is from RNAcentral.